This 68-nucleotide transfer RNA is filed under the name Marmota monax (woodchuck). RNAcentral's name for it is "tRNA.Ala". Lineage: Eukaryota; Metazoa; Chordata; Mammalia; Rodentia; Sciuridae. The record is from RNAcentral.
GGAUUGUAACUCAGUGGUAGAGCACUAGCCUUGCACGUGUGAGGCCCUGGGCUUGAUCCCCAGCACCA